AGUCAACGGUAACAGGUCUUCGGAUGCUGACGAGUGGCGGACGGGUGAGUAAUGCGUAGGAAUCUGUCUUUGAGUGGGGGACAACCCAGGGAAACUUGGGCUAAUACCGCAUAAGCCCUGAGGGGGAAAGCGGGGGAUCUUCGGACCUCGCGCUGGAAGAGGAGCCUACGUCUGAUUAGCUAGUUGGUAGGGUAAAGGCCUACCAAGGCGACGAUCGGUAGCUGGUCUGAGAGGACGACCAGCCACACUGGGACUGAGACACGGCCCAGACUCCUACGGGAGGCAGCAGUGGGGAAUUUUUCGCAAUGGGGGCAACCCUGACGAAGCAAUGCCGCGUGAAUGAAGAAGGCCUUCGGGUUGUAAAGUUCUUUCGUGGAGGACGAAAAGGUGGGUGCUAAUAUCGCCUGCUGUUGACGUGAAUCCAAGAAGAAGCACCGGCUAACUCCGUGCCAGCAGCCGCGGUAAUACAAA
This 471-nucleotide ribosomal RNA is filed under the name uncultured Acidithiobacillus sp. Its description in RNAcentral is "bacterial SSU rRNA". It matches the Rfam family "Bacterial small subunit ribosomal RNA", at positions 60 to 529 of the family's 1533-position model. The record is from RNAcentral. Lineage: Bacteria; Pseudomonadati; Pseudomonadota; Acidithiobacillia; Acidithiobacillales; Acidithiobacillaceae.